CCUACGGGUGGCAGCAGUGAGGAAUAUUGGUCAAUGGGCGCUAGCCUGAACCAGCCAAGUAGCGUGAAGGAUGAUUGCCCUAUGGGUUGUAAACUUCUUUUAUAUGGGAAUAAAGUGCAGUAUGUAUACUGCUUUGCAUGUACCUUCUGAAUAAGGAUCGGCUAACUCCGUGCCAGCAGCCGCGGUAAUCCGGAGGAUUCGAGCGUUUUCCGGAUUUAUUGGGUUGAAGGGGAGCGUAGGCGGGUUGUUAAGUCAGGUGUGAAAGUUUGCGGCUCAACCGUAAAAUUGCAGUUGAUACUGGCAUGCUUGAGUGCAGUAGAGGUAGGCGGAAUUCGUGGUGUAGCGGUGAAAUGCUUAGAUAUCACGAAGAACUCCGAUUGCGAAGGCAGCCUGCUGGACUGUAACUGACGCUGAUGCACGAAAGUGUGGGUAUCAAACAGGAUUAGAUACCCUUGUAGUC
RNAcentral lists this ribosomal RNA (460 nucleotides) under uncultured bacterium. RNAcentral describes it as "partial 16S ribosomal RNA". It matches the Rfam family "Bacterial small subunit ribosomal RNA", at positions 338 to 795 of the family's 1533-position model. The record is from RNAcentral.